Molecule: ribosomal RNA, 443 nt
Filed under: uncultured bacterium
Lineage: Bacteria
Description: partial 16S ribosomal RNA
Rfam family: Bacterial small subunit ribosomal RNA
Source: RNAcentral
CCUACGGGAGGCAGCAGUGGGGAAUAUUGGGCAAUGGGCGCAAGCCUGAUCCAGCAACGCCGCGUGAAGGAAGAAGGCCUUCGGGUUGUAAACUUCUUUUAUCAGGGACGAAGCAAGUGACGGUAACAGAUGCAUAAGUCACCGCUAACUACGUGCCAGCAGCCGCGGUAAUACGUAGGUGGCACCCGUGAUCUGGAUUUAUUGGGUGCAAAGGGCGGGUAGGCGGGAGUGCAAGUCAGAUGUGAAAACUAUGGGCUCAACCUGUGGACUGCAUUUGAAACUGUCCUUCUUGAGUGCUGGAGAGGCGAGCGGAAUUCCAGGUGUAGCGGUGAAAUGCGUAGAGAUACGGAGGAACACCAGUGGCGAAGGCGGAUUGCUGGACAGUAACUGACGCUGAGGCGCGAAAGCGUGGGGAGCAAACAGGAUUAGAUACCCCAGUAGUC